Molecule: ribosomal RNA, 119 nt
Filed under: Pteropus alecto (black flying fox)
Lineage: Eukaryota; Metazoa; Chordata; Mammalia; Chiroptera; Pteropodidae
Source: RNAcentral
GUCUAUGGCCACGCUACCCUGAACAAGCCCAAUCUUGUCUGAUCUCAGAAGCUAAGCAGAGUCAGGCCUGGUUAGUACUCAGAUGGGAGACCACCUAAUAAGACCAGGUACUGUAGGCA